CCUACGGGUGGCAGCAGUGAGGAAUAUUGGUCAAUGGGCGGGAGCCUGAACCAGCCAAGUCGCGUGAGGGAAGACGGUCCUAUGGAUUGUAAACCUCUUUAGGCGGGGAGCAAUGCCGGGCACGCGUGCCCGGAGGGAGAGUACCCGCAGAAUAAGCAUCGGCUAACUCCGUGCCAGCAGCCGCGGUAAUACGGAGGAUGCGAGCGUUAUCCGGAUUUAUUGGGUUUAAAGGGUGCGUAGGCGGGCUGUUAAGUCAGCGGUCAAAUGUCGGGGCUCAACCCCGGCCUGCCGUUGAAACUGGCGGCCUCGAGUGGGCGAGAAGUAUGCGGAAUGCGUGGUGUAGCGGUGAAAUGCAUAGAUAUCACGCAGAACUCCGAUUGCGAAGGCAGCAUACCGGCGCCCGACUGACGCUGAGGCACGAAAGCGUGGGUAUCGAACAGGAUUAGAUACCCCUGUAGUC
Molecule: ribosomal RNA, 460 nt
Filed under: uncultured bacterium
Lineage: Bacteria
Description: partial 16S ribosomal RNA
Rfam family: Bacterial small subunit ribosomal RNA
Source: RNAcentral